CGUGUAGGCGGCCAGGUAGGUCCGUUGUGAAAACUCGAGGCUCAACCUCGAGACGUCGAUGGAAACCAUCUGGCUAGAGUCCGGAAGAGGAGAGUGGAAUUCCUGGUGUAGCGGUGAAAUGCGCAGAUAUCAGGAAGAACACCUAUGGCGAAGGCAGCUCUCUGGGACGGUACUGACGCUGAGAGCGAAAGCGUGGGGAGCGAACGA
RNAcentral lists this ribosomal RNA (207 nucleotides) under uncultured bacterium. Its description in RNAcentral is "partial 16S ribosomal RNA". It matches the Rfam family "Bacterial small subunit ribosomal RNA", at positions 568 to 775 of the family's 1533-position model. The record is from RNAcentral.